This 597-nucleotide ribosomal RNA is filed under the name Mikiola fagi. RNAcentral describes it as "eukaryotic LSU rRNA". It matches the Rfam family "Eukaryotic large subunit ribosomal RNA", at positions 402 to 812 of the family's 3401-position model. Lineage: Eukaryota; Metazoa; Arthropoda; Insecta; Diptera; Cecidomyiidae. The record is from RNAcentral.
AAACCGCUUAGGGGUUAAGCCCGAUGAACCCGAAUAUCUGAUGUGAGAAAUUCAAUACAGUUCAAAUUCUGAUUUUUAUGUUGGAUUUGUAUAGUAUGCACUUUUCUCAUAGUAAGACAUUGUAAUCCAUUGAUAUUAUAUCUCAAUUUCGAGAUGAUUUAACAUACGGACAAAAUGUUUAUGAUUAUUCUAUCAGUGAUAUGUUUACAUGUCAUAUGAAUAAAAUCGUUUUGUACCUGUUUAAAUAGUCGAUGGAUUUUCCAUUGAAAUCAUGCUUGCAAUUUAUUUUGCGUUUCGUAUCAUUAAUUUUUAAUUGGUGAUAGCAGAAAUGGCAUGUAUUCGAUUAACAAUGCGAUAGAUUUGGGAUGCCUUCGGGACCCGUCUUGAAACACGGACCAAGGAGUCUAACAUAUGUGCAAGUCAUUGAGUAUUUUGUUGAAACUUAAUGGCGUAAUUAAAAUGACUAUAUUUUUAAUUUGGGAUCACAAGUAAUGUUCAAAUUUAUGCAUUAUUUUUCAAUCCCGGGGCGUUCUAUACGAACAUGAUGUAAGCAAUUAUGUCCUCUGUUCAAGAGCGCACCUUGAGCACAUAUGCUGU